Molecule: ribosomal RNA, 500 nt
Filed under: uncultured bacterium
Lineage: Bacteria
Description: partial 16S ribosomal RNA
Rfam family: Bacterial small subunit ribosomal RNA
Source: RNAcentral
GACGAACGCUGGCGGCGUGCUUAACACAUGCAAGUCGAACGGGUCUGCCCUGUUUUUUGCGGGGUGGGUCAGUGGCGAACGGGUGAGUAACACGUGAGUAACCUGCCCCUCACUUCUGGAUAACCGCUUGAAAGGGUGGCUAAUACGGGGUGUUCUGGCUGUGCCGCAUGGUGUGGCUGGGAAAGAUUCACUUUUGUGGUGUUUUGGUGGGGGAUGGGCUCGCGGCCUAUCAGCUUGUUGGUGGGGUGAUGGCCUGCCAAGGCGUUGACGGGUAGCCGGCCUGAGAGGGUGGGCGGUCACACUGGGACUGAGAUACGGCCCAGACUCCUGCGGGAGGCAGCAGUGGGGGGUAUUGCACAAUGGGCGGAAGCCUGAUGCAGCGACGUCGCGUGAGGGAUGGAGGCCGUCGGGUUGUGAACCUUUUUCGCCGGUGAAGAAGGUCCUGCUCUUUGUGGUGGGGUUGACGGUAGCCGGGUUAUGAAGCGCCGGCUAACUACGUG